CAGGAUGAACGUUGGCGGUGCGCCUAAUACAUGCAAGUCGAACGAGGAACUUGGAUUUAUUCAAGUGGAAAGUGGCGGACGAGCGAGUAACACGUAAGAACCUGCCCCGUACUCAGGGAUAACGGCCCGAAAGGGUCGCUAAUACCGGAUAGUCUCGAAAGAGUAAAGAUUUAUCGGUACGGGAGGGGCUUGCGGCUUAUCAGUUUGUUGGUGGGGUAAUGGCCUACCAAGACUAUGACGAGUAGCUGGUGUGAGAGCACGACCAGCCGCGAUGGGACUGAGACACGGCCCAUACUCCUACGGGAGGCAGCAGUAAGGAAUAUUCCGCAAUGGACGAAAGUCUGACGGAGCGACACCGCGUGGAGGAUGACAGCCCUAGGGUUGUAAACUCCUUUUUUGAGGGAAGAAGAUCUGACGGUACCUCAAGAAUAAGCUUCGGCUAAUUACGUGCCAGCAGCCGCGGUAAGACGUAAGAAGCAAGCGUUAUCCGGAAUUAUUGGGCGUAAAGCGUCCGCAGGUGGUCUACUAAGUCUGUUAUUAAAUCCCAGUGCUCAACAUUGGGGCUGUAAUGGAAACUAUUAGACUAGAGGAUGGGAGAGGUAUAUGGAAUUCUACAAGUAGGGGUAAAAUCCGUAGAUAUGUAGAGGAACACCAAAAGCGAAGGCAGUAUACUGGCCCAUUCCUGACACUCAGGGACGAAAGCGUGGGGAGCGAAAGGGAUUAGAUACCCCUGUAGUCCACGCCGUAAACGAUGCAUGCUCGGUGUAGGAACCCUCGACCUGGUUUCUGUGCCCAAGGUAACCCGUUAAGCAUGCCGCCUGUGUAGUACGAUCGCAAGAUUAAAACACAAAGGAAUAGACGGGGGCCCACACAAGCGGUGGAUCGCGGGGUUUAAUUCGUCAAUAAGCGAGUAACCUUACCCAGGUUUGACAUCUCUAUCGCAUUCUGUGGAAACACGAAAGUCGGUUCGGCCGGAUAAAUGACAGGCGCUGCAUGGUUGCCGUCAGCUCGUGCCUUGAGGUGUUCGGUUAAGUCCGUAAACGAGCGAAACCCUCAUCAUAUGUUGUAAUUUCAUAUGAGACUGCCGGUCAUAAACCGGAGGAAAAAAAAGGAUGACGUCAAAUCAGCAUGGCCCUUAUGCCUGGGGCUACACCCACGAUACAAUGGCGAGAUACAAACCGAAGCAAUACAGCAAUGUGGAGCCAAUCGGAUAAAACUCGUCUCAGUUCGGAUUGGAGUCUGCAACUCGACUCCAUGAAGCCGGAAUCGCUAGUAAACGUAUAUCAGUCACGGUACGUUGAAUAUGUUCCUGGACCUUGUACUCACCGCCCGUCAAGGCAUGGGAGUUAGGGGCGCCCGAAGUCUGCGAAAUAAUCGUGGCCUAAGGCGAAACUAAUG
RNAcentral lists this ribosomal RNA (1398 nucleotides) under uncultured prokaryote. RNAcentral describes it as "partial 16S ribosomal RNA". It matches the Rfam family "Bacterial small subunit ribosomal RNA". The record is from RNAcentral.